This 1076-nucleotide ribosomal RNA is filed under the name uncultured bacterium. RNAcentral's name for it is "bacterial SSU rRNA". It matches the Rfam family "Bacterial small subunit ribosomal RNA", at positions 82 to 1161 of the family's 1533-position model. The record is from RNAcentral.
UUUCGGGCUUCGACCGGCGUACGGGUGCGUAACGCGUAUACAAUCUGCCUUUCACAUAGGGAUAGCCCGAAGAAAUUUGGAUUAAUACCUAAUGGCAUAUAGGGGUGGCAUCACCUUUAUAUUAAAGCUGAGGCGGUGAAAGAUGAGUAUGCGUUCUAUUAGCUAGUUGGAGAGGUAACGGCUCCCCAAGGCUACGAUAGAUAGGGGUUCUGAGAGGGAUAUCCCCCACACUGGUACUGAGAUACGGACCAGACUCCUACGGGAGGCAGCAGUGAGGAGUAUUGGACAAUGGUCGGAAGACUGAUCCAGCCAUGCCGCGUGCAGGAAGACGGCCUUAUGGGUUGUAAACUGCUUUUGCAGGGGAAGAAUAAGGAGUACGUGUACUUUGAUGACGGUACUCUGCGAAUAAGCAUCGGCUAACUCCGUGCCAGCAGCCGCGGUAAUACGGAGGAUGCGAGCGUUAUCCGGAAUCAUUGGGUUUAAAGGGUUCCGUAGGCGGGCUAAUAAGUCAGAGGUGAAAGCGCUCAGCUCAACUGAGCAACUGCCUUUGAAACUGUUAGUCUUGAAUGGUUGUGAAGUAGUUGGAAUGUGUAGUGUAGCGGUGAAAUGCUUAGAUAUUACACAGAACACCGAUAGCGAAGGCAUAUUACUAACAAUUAAUUGACGCUGAUGGACGAAAGCGUGGGGAGCGAACAGGAUUAGAUACCCUGGUAGUCCACGCUGUAAACGAUGGAUACUAGCUGUUUGGUUGUAAGACUGAGUGGCUAAGCGAAAGUGAUAAGUAUCCCACCUGGGGAGUACGCACGCAAGUGUGAAACUCAAAGGAAUUGACGGGGGCCCGCACAAGCGGUGGAGCAUGUGGUUUAAUUCGAUGAUACGCGAGGAACCUUACCAAGGUUUAAAUGGAGACUGACGUACUUAGAGAUAGGUAUUUCUUCGGACAGUUUUCAAGGUGCUGCAUGGUUGUCGUCAGCUCGUGCCGUGAGGUGUCAGGUUAAGUCCUAUAACGAGCGCAACCCCUGCCAUUAGUUGCUAGCGAGUCGAGUCGAGCACUCUAGUGGGACUGCCGGUGCAAA